Molecule: ribosomal RNA, 253 nt
Filed under: uncultured prokaryote
Description: partial 16S ribosomal RNA
Rfam family: Bacterial small subunit ribosomal RNA
Source: RNAcentral
UACAGAGGGGGCGAGCGUUGUUCGGAAUUAUUGGGCGUAAAGGGCGCGUAGGCGGUGCGGUAAGUCACCUGUGAAACCUCUGGGCUUAACUCAGAGCCUGCAGGCGAAACUGCCGUGCUGGAGUGUGGGAGAGGUGCGUGGAAUUCCCGGUGUAGCGGUGAAAUGCGUAGAUAUCGGGAAGAACACCAGUGGCGAAGGCGGUCUGCUGGGCCGUUGCUGACGCUGAUGCGCGACAGCGUGGGGAGCAAACAGG